Molecule: ribosomal RNA, 282 nt
Filed under: uncultured bacterium
Lineage: Bacteria
Description: partial 16S ribosomal RNA
Rfam family: Bacterial small subunit ribosomal RNA
Source: RNAcentral
UUGGCCUACGGGACGCAGCAGUGGGGAAUCUUCCGCAAUGGGCGCAAGCCUGACGGAGCAAUGCCGCGUGAACGAAGAAGGUCUUCGGAUUGUAAAGUUCUGUCCUUAUCGAAGAGAGGGUAUAGAGUGAAAAAUGAUAUACUAGGACGGUAGAUGAGGAGGAAGCCACGGCUAACUACGUGACAGCAGCCGCGGUAAUACGUAGGGGGCGAGCGUUGUCCGGAAUCACUGGGCGUAAAGGGCGCGUAGGCGGCAGUAUAAGUCAGAUGCGAAAGGUGGGGG